Molecule: long non-coding RNA, 460 nt
Organism: Lathyrus oleraceus (garden pea)
Lineage: Eukaryota; Viridiplantae; Streptophyta; Magnoliopsida; Fabales; Fabaceae
Exons: 2
Source: RefSeq, a predicted model, not a curated record
AGUUAAAAUUCUGAUGUGAAUUGUUUCUGUCAUUCUCAUUAAAAUCCAGCAAUUAAACUUGUGUGUCCGGCUUUCUAGUAGCGGUUCAGAAUAGACGGAAGUCGAUUCGGGACUGAUUUUUCCGCUAAAUUUGAAAACUCUGAUAAAACUUUAAAUCCGUUAAAUUUCAAAGAGGUGAUCUAUUCACCCCCCCUCUCGAUCACUAGCCACACCGUCUAACAAAUGAGACCUACAAUAAUAAAAAAAAAUGCUUGUAAGUCUUAAGUUAGCUUACUUGUUUUCCAUCAGGACUCCAACUAACAGCAUAAAUACUGCCAGUAUGGCCACCUUCUGAAGACAACUCCCCAAUCUUCUCUCCAGUCUUUCCAUCGAAUAUGAUACCCUUUUUGUCAGAACUUACCGUUAAAAAUUUAUUGCCAUCUGGAGAAUAUCUUACACAAUUGACAAAAUUUGAAUGAUC